GGAAAGAUUCUUUGGAAAUCUAGGAAUGAGAAAGGGCAGCUGGGACAUGGUGACACCAAGAGAGUAGGAGCCCCCAGACUCAUCGAGGGCCUCAGCCACGAAGUGAUCAUGUCUGCAGCAUGUGGGCAGAACUACACCUUGGCCUUGAUGGAAAUGGGCUCCGUGUUUGCGUUUGGGGAGAACAAGAUGGGGCAGCUGGGCCUUGGCAACCUGACAGACACUAUCCCCAGCCCCGCACAGAUAAUAUACAAUGGCCAGCCAAUUACCAAAAUGGCCUUUGGGGCUGAAUUCAGUAUGAUAAUGGACUGCAAAGGAAACCUCUAUUCCUUUGGGUGCCAUGAAUAUGGUCAGCUGGGACACAACUCGGAUGGGAAGUUCAUCGCCCGGGCACGGCGGACAGAGUACAACUACAGACUGGUUCCCCAUUGAGUGACCAUCUUCAUUGAGGCAGAUCCUGCCUGUACCAAAUGUAGCUGUGUGAGACGUAGCCUGUGGCGCUAACCACACACUGGUCCUGGACUCCCAGAAGUGAGUCUUCUCCUGGGGCUUCAGUGGCUAUGGCCGGCUGGGCCACGCAGAGCAGGAUGAGAUGGUCCCCCACCUGGUGAAGCUGUUUGACUUCCCUGGACAUCGGGUGUCCCAGAUCUAUACUGGUUACACCUGCUCCUUUGCCAUCAGUGAAGUGGGUGGUCUGUUUUUCCAGGGGGCCACCAACACCUCCCGUGAAUCUACCACAUACCCAAAAGCAGUGCAGGACCUCUGUGGCUGGAUAAUCCAGAGCCUGGCUUGUGGGAAGAGCAGCAUCAUUGUGGCCACCGAGAGAGCACCAUAGCUGGGGCCCAUCACCGACCUUCGGGGAACUGGGCUAAGGGACCACAAGCCCAAGUCUUCCACUGCAGCCCAGGAGGUGAAGACUCUGGAUGGCAUUUUCUCAGAGGUCACCAUGGGCUACUCACACUCUUUGGUGACACCAAGAGACAAAAGUGAGACCGAGAAAGAGAAGAUCAAGAAACUACCAGAAUACAACCGCCAAACCCUUUGA
This 1042-nucleotide long non-coding RNA is filed under the name Homo sapiens (human). RNAcentral describes it as "non-protein coding lnc-TXNRD3-2:1". Lineage: Eukaryota; Metazoa; Chordata; Mammalia; Primates; Hominidae. The record is from RNAcentral.